ACGGGAGGCAGCAGUGAGGAAUAUUGGUCAAUGGACGGAAGUCUGAACCAGCCAAGUCGCGUGAAGGAUGAAGGUUCUAUGGAUUGUAAACUUCUUUUGCCCGAGGGUAAAGUGAUCUACGUGUAGGUUAUUGCAAGUAUCGGGUGAAUAAGCAUCGGCUAACUCCGUGCCAGCAGCCGCGGUAAUACGGAGGAUGCGAGCGUUAUCCGGAUUUAUUGGGUUUAAAGGGUGCGUAGGCGGUUUGUUAAGUCAGUGGUAAAAGCGUGUGGCUCAACCAUACCGAGCCAUUGAAACUGGCGAACUUGAGUGUAAACGAGGUAGGCGGAAUAUGACAUGUAGCGGUGAAAUGCUUAGAUAUGUCAUAGAACUCCGAUUGCGAAGGCAGCUUACCAGCAUACAACUGACGCUGAGGCACGAAAGCGUGGGUAUCAAACAGGAUUAGAUACCCUGGUA
RNAcentral lists this ribosomal RNA (453 nucleotides) under uncultured Paludibacter sp. RNAcentral's name for it is "partial 16S ribosomal RNA". It matches the Rfam family "Bacterial small subunit ribosomal RNA", at positions 341 to 792 of the family's 1533-position model. Lineage: Bacteria; Pseudomonadati; Bacteroidota; Bacteroidia; Bacteroidales; Paludibacteraceae. The record is from RNAcentral.